GGACCCAUAGAAAUCUUCAAUCGGAGGUUGAAAAUUUGACAAAGAAGGUGAAAGAGAAGACAUGGAUAAUAUCUAUUUAUAUCCUAGAUGUUUACCAUUGAUCUUUGAUCAGGAUAAACGGUUCAAAACAACUAACAACUUUGCAAGUUAAGGAGAUGGCAUAUAACACUAAAGUUUGCACGUUGAAAGCACAACUUUUCUCCAAUUUAUUGAAAUUAUUCGGCAAUAGCAAAGUAUUAGGCAACCCCCGUUCAUCAUAGGUUGAUUUGGCUAGAUCACUAUGGCAUCACAGUCCAUAUCUUCACCUUGAUGCAAAUUGUAUUACAACAAUCUAGAUAAACACUAAUCUAAAUAAUCAACUCCUUGCGCAACCAAUUAGCAUCAAAAUGCGUACCUGCAAACAAAGAAUCAAAUAAUAUCAAUGUUUAAUAUAUUUUUAAACAACAUUUAAACUUGUUUAGAGGCAAUACUUCAGUUCCUAUAUCAAAUGUGUUGUAUUGGGAUGGAAUUCUUUCAAGAGAUAAUGAUUUUUUUUUAUUGCAACAAUGUCUAAUAAAGUGCAGCUUAACAUCAAUAUGCCUGGUUGUUUCAUGAAAAACAGGAUUUUUAUAUAAAAUAAUAGCACAUUGACAAUUUAAAUAUAAUACAGCAAGAUUAGAGUCAUUUAUUUUAAAUAACAAAUUUUUUAACCAUAAGACUUCUUUUAAUUUACAUUUUCAGUAGUAGUUAUAUAAUCAGCUUCAGUAGUUGAUAAAUGUACAAUAGAUUGCAAUUGGGAUUUCCAACUAAUACAAGUUUCAUGCAAAGUAAACUUAUAAAAAAAGUAGUGGAAUUUCUAUUAUCCCUAUUCGUGCAAAGUCUACAUUUACAUAUCCCGUAAGUACUACACCUCCAUAUAAGAACUAAAACAUAACUUUAAUUGUGAGGAUCCUUUCAAAUAUUUUAAUAGUCAUUUUAAAGCAAUAUAGUGCUUAAGGCCAGAAUUGGUUAUAAACAUACUAAGGAUAUUUAUAACGUGGCCUACAUCAAGUGUAGUGCAUACCAUAUAUAACUGAGCCUAUAGCAUUAGCAUAAAGGAGCUUUGCCAUGUAUCUAAUAUCUGAUUCAUCAACAAGACAUUAAUCCAUACAACAUAUGAAAUGACUAGCAAUUGGCAAAGUUACAUAUUCAGAAUCAUGCAUAACAAAUUUUGAUAGCACACAUUUUCAAUGUAGGAAGUUUGUUUCAAAAUUAGAAUAUAUUUAGAUAUAUUUUUCAAAAUGUCCAUCCUAUUAUUCCUCCAGCAUGACAUAGAUUUAUCAUUUCAAAUACAGUACUUAGUGAUCUUUUUAAUAAGUGCACAAAAACAUAUUUACUUUUAUCCAUAAAGCAUUGUGGCUGACUCAUAGAGUAGUCUCAUCCAAAUCCCCAUGCAAGAAAGUGGUUUUCAUAUACAUCUUUAAAAGUUCAAAAUCAUAAUGGGCAACUAAUACUAACAUCACUCUACUUAUAGUAUAUUUUACAACAUGUGAGAAAGAUUUCAUUAUAAUCAACUUUGUUUUGAGUAAAAUAUUUUGAAAUUAUUCUAGACUUAAAUCUAAGUGGAUCAUUUUUGAAUUCCCUUCUUUAACACGAUAAAUCCAAUCACAAUUCACUUAAGAUUUAUCAACACAUCUUGGAACAAUUAUCAAAAUUCUAUUUUCAUCAAAGAAUUCAUUUCUUCUAACAUGACAAAGUACCAAUUUUUAGAUUAUUGGCUAAUAAUAGCUUCAACGAAAGUUUCAAGCUCCUUAAAAGACUAGAUCUUGUAGGAAAGAACAGUAAAAGAGAGAGGAUCUCUAAAUUUAAAUGGUUCUCUAAUAUCCAUUCUAAUUGUAUUUCUAAUUAGUUGAUAAUCAUCUAAGACAGAGGUCGUUGUUCUUCCUCAUCUAGUCGGGCAUGUAUAUUGCUUUCCCCAAUUUCCCUAGAAUCAGAAACACUUUUUCUGACUCACUUUUCUCCUGUAUUUUAUCAACAAAGUCAGGUGUGGACUGAAUUUCCACCUAUAGCUUAGUCCCAUUAGUCACUCCUAUUUCAGAGGCAUUUUUAGUGGGAAAACGAUAGUCUAUCAAGGUCAUUUGCACAGACCCUGACCAGACUAUCUCUCAAACAAGGGGACUCACACCCAUUUUUUAAGGACAAAAAAAAUGCCCACCCUCUCUUAGUUUCGCAAGGGUUUGUGCAAAUGACCUGGCAGACUAGGAUAUCCCUUUUUAGUGCUUCUAUCACUCAAACAUGUGUGUGUGUGUGUGUGUAAUCAGAGUCGAUCCUGAAAUUUUGGGUGCCUUGUGCGAAAUUUUAAAAUGGUGCUACCUUCAAGUAACUAAAACAUAUAUUAAUGAAAAUAUAUUUCAAUAAUAUUAUUUCAUUGCAUAAAUAUGAUAUUUAAUUUAUUUUUUUAACAUACAUGAACAAGAAAAACUUAAAUAAACUUCAAAAACAUCUCUUGAAUUUCAUCAAAAUUCAUAUGUUAUCAACAAAUAGGGAUGUCAAAUGGACCGAACGGCUCAUCGGCUCGACCGCUUAGCUUGUCAAAAUCGGGCACAUGGGCGGUUGGGCUCGUAAUUUUACGAGCCCGAGCACAAGCCGAGUGGGCCUGGGCGGGGGAAAGUCGAGAGCAGGUCAUCAUUUAAACGAGCCUAGCUCAUUGCUCGGCUCGUGGCUCGUGGAAAAGUGACCAAACGGCCACUGAACUUUUUUAUUUUAUUUUUUUUCCUCACUUCACUUCUAUUAUAAAUAUCCCCAACUCUCGAUUUUUUCAUAUCAAAACUCUAUUCUCACUUCUCAACUCUCUCAACUCUCUUUAUAUCAAUUAUCAAGUUUUUGCUCUCUCUUGUGCUGUUGUGCAAAAUAUACAAUAUUGAUUCAUUUUUUUACAAUUUAUUCAGUUACAAUUUCAAUUCAUCCAAUUUUCAGUUCUCACUACAUUUAUAUUUUUACUAGUUAUUAUAUUUGGAUUUCAUCACAACUAAUCAAACAAAUGGAUUAACGCUAAUUUGUUGAGAGCUUAUUCGAUACGGGAUAUGGGCCACAUGGAGAAUCACCUAGGACUCCAAAGUUAAUUUUCGAAUGAAUUUGUCGAUCUAAAUGACGUACCCAUACCUGAAGUGUUCAUAUUCACGAUUAUGGAAGCCACAAUCCAAUUGAUUUGGAUGAUAUUAAUAUUCCCGAAGCGGAACAUGAGGACGAAAACCGAAUUAAACAUCAUAGGUGCGAGGGGAAAGCGAAAGGGGAAAAACAAGCAAAAUGUUAAUAUCACUUUAAAUUGAUUUCAACGGGAAAAAUCGCCAAUGGCCUCGUAGAAUCUAAGGCGGUAUGAAUACUGCCAACAAAGAUUGUCAUGGCAAAAAGGAAUUGGUAUCACCCCAUCUCAACAGCCACUACAAAGUAUGUGCGGCCAAACGUGGACUUUUUCCAGCUGGUCAAACACAAUUGCAAUUUGACAAUCCAGGCUCCGACUCUACGACUUCACCACGAUCCACGUGGGUAUAUUUGGAAGACAUUACUAGAACUAGAAUGGUGAAAUUUGUUGCCGCCACUGAGUUGUCUCUGACUAUUGCCGACAACCAACAUUUCGUUUCGUUCAUGAAAGAAUUUCUGCAACCAAGGUACGUUGGGAUAAGUCGAAACACUAUUCGUGCCAAUACAAUACAAUAUUUCAAUGAUUCAAAAUAACAAUUAAUUAUAGCUUUGCAACAAUAUGAGAGUUAUAUCUUUAACUUCUAAUGUAUGGGAAGGGGUUACUAAAAGAGUAUAUAUAGCUAUAACCGCAAAGUUUAUAAACCUACUUUGGUGCAUGCAUAAAAAAAUUAUUGUUUUUAGAAUUAUUGAGUUUCUUCACAAUGCUAAUAAUAUAUAUAAUGAUAUUAUCAGUAUUGUUAGAUAAUAUAAUUACGAGACUAAAAUUCGAUCUUUUACUUUCGAUAAUUCUAGUGUUAAUAAGAUAGUCAUCAAUAAAUUGUAUAGGGUACUUCAACCUGAUUUCGUUGGGUAUUUGUUUCUUAUUCGUUGUGUGUGCCAUAUUUUGAAUUUAAUUGUGCAAGAUUGCUUAAAACAUAUAAAUGAUGAACUUCAAAAGAUUAUGAAUUUAUUAGUAUAUAUUACGAUCUCUCCUAAUAGAAAACAAGUAUUUGAAAAUUUUUGUGCCAAACUAGAGGUGAUGACUACUAAAAUAUUUGUUAGCGAUGUAGACCAUAGAUGAAACUCUACGUACUUGCUAUUAAAAUCAUGUGAAGGUUUCGAACAUUUAAUAACUGACUUUUAUAACAAUAGACAUGUUAGAAACGAUGAUGAUGGUAUGUUGAAUGAAUCCGAUUGAAUUUUAACUUUGACAGUUAAACGAGUUUUGACAUCUUUUCAUGAGACCACAAAAAUUUUAUCAGACGUUUAUUAUCCGACAAGUGUAUGGUGCUUGAACAUUUUUAUAUAAUUGCAAGAACAUUUUAUAAAUAUAAAAAUGAUCAUGAUUUUAGUGAAAUUAUAAUUGCUAUGAAAUUAAAGUUUAGAAAAUAUUGAAAAGAACUGGAUAUGUCAUUUCCUUUAGCAUGAUCAAUGGACCCCUGAUAUAAUAUACCGAGAACUAAAUACAUAAUUGAUCAAAUCAAUAAAACCUUAAUAUUUGAUACACCUAUCACCUAUAAGAAUUUAGAGCAAACAUUAUGUGGAAUGUAUGAUUUAUAUGCGGAACGAUUGAGUGCGAAUGUUAGUCGGAUACCCUCUGCACAUAUUCCUUCGAUUGAAAUUGAAGAAAAUGAUGCAGAAAUAAUGAAUUUAUUUCAAGACAUUAAUACAUUUAGAUAUGAUGUAACUGCAAUGUGUUCAUCUAAUGCCAUGUCGUCUACACUUGCAUCUCAUCAAACAUCGGCCGCAAUUCAAAAUGCAAUGUCUGCCGAAUUAAUUGAUUACUUCAAUCAUAAUAUGCCAAUAGACAAAACAAUUAAAAAAAGUUCAGAAAAAAGUAAUUGGAUUCUGGCGAAAGCAUGAAAGAUGUUGGCAAAUUAUUUCUGCAAUUGCGAAAGACCUGCUGAGACAAAUCAUGUAAAAAUAUUUUUUCUCGCAUUUCUAAAAGCAAACUCAUUAGUUAAACUUUCAUAAUCAAUAUUUUCUAGAAAAGUCUUUCUCAAUAGAUAUCAAAGUUAAUCGUUCUUGUAAUAUGGUUGAUCGCAAAUAAGAUUUUAAUAACUUCAAUUUUGAAAAACUUCUUUUAGUAGAUGCAACAGUAACAGAAAUUGUCAAUAAUAUUCUAUAUUUCUAUAAGCAAUACAUGUAUUGAGAAAGCAAUUUAAUCUUUUCAAAUAAAUGAAUAUAUCAUAAGCCGUCUUUAUUUCUUUUGGUAAAAGAUUUUGCAAAACUUUUAACUUUUGAAAUAAAUAUUCGCCAUCAAAAUCGCAAAAAUUUACUUGUCUUAAAUCAAUAUCAAGAUUAUCACAACAUGCUUUCAAAUUAGCAUCAUUCAAUGAGUUUAACUUGUUGGAAGAAAAUAGAAAUCCAAAUUUUUUUUUCAUAUGAAUUGAAUUGAUCGAACCUUCGUUCAAGUGAUCCAAUUGCUCAAUCUACUAUAUAAAAGAAGUAAUUGGUUCUGAAAGAAUCUUUAGGUGAUUGUGCAUCAUCUACGGUAGCAUUUUCAUCUACUAUAAAGAAAUAAUCGGUUUCUUUCCUCUAUCUUAAUAUUCUUUGAAGCAAUUGGAAAAGACAGUUGAUUUCUUUAAUUCUUUUCUCCAAAAAGACGAUUGGAAAAGGCGGUUGUUCAAUUUUUCUUUUUUCUUCCAAUUCUCUACUCAGCCUGAUCUCUUUUCAACUUUUCCCUUUUCCGCCACAUUAUUUAAGAUAAGAAUACUAUUUAAGAAUAUUAUAUUCAAGGAAAUUAUAAUUAGUUAGUUACAUAAUUUUUAAUUUUAUUAUCUUAUGCAUGAUAAUACAAAAUUUAUAUUUUAAAUAUUUAAUUAUAAAUAAAUAUACAACUAUAACAAACAAAAAUUUUAGUGCCCCUACAGUUUUGAGCCCUGUGUGAUCGCUCAACUUGCGCACCCUCAGGGCCUCUGCAGAUAAUACUUUUGGACCCUUUUUUUCUUAUUUUCAUAUACUCCAAUGAGAAUAGGACACACCCAAAAGUUGUCAAGAGAGAAUAAUAUGGUAUCUUACCAAAUCAAAAAUUUUCAGGGAUUUUGCCUUCUAUAACACUAGAAGCCAUGUUCACAAUAUAAGAUAUUUCCGUGAUAGUUUCUCCAUAAAGCUUUUGGAAGAUCAAAACUUACCGUCAUAUUCAUUCUCCAAACCACCCCGUCUUAUUGAAGAGUAUAAGGCACAGAGUUGUGUCUUAGAAUUCUAUUUAGUUUGCAAAAUUGAUCAAAUUUGGAAUUGCGAAACUCUAAAACAAUUAUUGAUUUUAAGAAUCUUUAUUUUCUUUACAAUCUAAUUUUCUAUUAAUAUAUUACAUGUUCUAAAUUUUCAAAAAUAUCUGAUUUAUUCUUUAAUAAGAACAUUCAAACAUUUCUAGAAAAAUCAUCAGUCAAUGAGAGAAUAAUAAUUUCCUACUUGAGUGACAAUGGACAAAGGGUCUCACAAAUCUGAAUGUAUAUAUUUCAGAAUAAAGGUUGUAUUAUGUUUUCUUGUGUUAAAAUGUAGCAUAUUUUGUUUGCCUACACCACAAUAUUCACAAAAGAGGACUUUUGAAAUAGUCUUUCCAAAUAGUCAUUGUUUGUAAAGAAUGUGAAGGCCUUUUCACUAACAUGUGCCAACUUAUUGUACCAUUUUAAAGUGUCAUCAAUUUCAACAUUAGAGGCCUCGGUAGUGUGAUUCAAUAUUGCAUCAGCUUUGGUGACAAAGAUUUCAUUCCUUUUGGUACCUUUGAAAAUAGUAAGUAAUCCCUUUAUCAUGUCAUUUUCAACUCUACCUUGUAAUUCUAUGUCAUCUAAAUUUUUCAUUUCUCUUUAAAGUUGAAACAUAUCUAACUCUUUCAGAAGUAUAGAUAUAUUCAUUCUUAAAUUUUAAUAUCAUACUAUCAAUUCCUUCAACUCUUUAAGCCAUAUUAUUGCCCAUAACCAUCUUUCUCCCGUUAAUUUUCUUAAAAUUUUCUAAUCUGCUUUUUUAGAAGUCAUAUAGAAAGUACAACCUAUUCUUGAACUUGAUCACUUUUAUCUGCAACAUUUGCAGUAUUCAGAUCAAGUAAUGGUUCUAUAACAACUAGAUGCGGAUGAAGAGGGGGUGAGCUAGGCUAGCCCAACCAUACUCCAGUGUAAAAGCAAAUUGUAUAUUAAAAAUGAAACUUUUAGCCCAAAUUCAUGGUGAAAUUGAAAAGAAGAAAAAUUUAGCACAAUCCAAAAAUUAAUUUUAGCCCAACUAACUUCAUUCUCAACUCAAGCCUCGUGUUCAAUUAUUCAAAUUUAGUUUAAUACUUUACAACAAUUACAUAUUUAUUUUAUUCACAAUUAUGAUACACAAAUAACUAGUUAUCUAAUUAGGUAUUUUAUUUCUACGUGUGUGUGUAGUUUAAAUUUAUUAUAUAACAAAUAAUUUUUAUUGAUUAAAGUAAAGAUAAAUGACUUAUUUUAAGAGUAUGAGAUGCCAAAUAUUUGACUAAGUUUAAAAGUAAUUAAAUUUUUUCUUCUUUAUUUUUCCAUAUAUAAAUUAUUUAUACUUUUGAGUUAAAAAUUUAUUUAUUUCGACCACGAAAUGGAUAUAAUUAUCAAAAUAAAUAAUAUGCUCUAUAUUUAAUUAUAUUAGUAAAAAAUAUAUUUGUUAGAACUUUGUCUUGGGUGUUCAAAAAUAUAUUCUGACCCACAUUGUCUUUAGCGUCAUGGGUUUAACAUCUUAAACUAAAUCUCUUGUGGUAUAGAGCAUCUUUUAUGAUAUAAAUUCAUUGAAAAAAAAAUAAAUUUUAGCCAAUCCGAACAUAUCUUUCUAGCUUUGUCCCUGGUAAGAACAUAGACCUGUAUGUGUUAGAUUCCAAGGGACCAACUAUAUGCCCUUUAUUAACCAUUUUACCUUUCUGUUCAUUUUUCUUCUUAUAACCAUCUUUUAUGAAAUGUCAUGUUUUUCGACAUCCAUAACAUUUUUUUAUUUCUUGCUCCAGACUUUGACUUUGAAUUCCCUCUGUUCUUUUUCUUGUAAUUAUUUUUGUGAUGACUAUGAUUAUCUUGAUUUCCAUUUUGUCUAUUGUAUGAUCUACCCCCCACACAUAAACUUUCAUAAUUACUACUUAAAGAGUUAAUGACAAUUUGCAAGAGUUGAAGUGUCACUAUCAUACUUAAUAACAAUCCUACUCAAAGACCAUUUUUGGGUAUUUGUAAUGUCUCUAACCAAUUUGUAGGCUUCCAAAUUAUAAUAUACGUCUUUAGAUGAAUCGAUUAUAGAUUUGAAGAAUCUUUUAAAAGGAGAAGUUUGUUUGGUCAGGAUUUGACCAUGUAAACUCUUCUAAAUAUUUGCACAUAAGCUAAGUAGAGAAAUUUCCUACUUUUCUCAAAAUUUGGUCAGACGGAUAUAAAAUAAUAGAGGUGUAGGCAAGUUCGCGUGCCUAUCUCUUUGAUCAACAAUCAUAGAAGUUGGAUUAUUUUCAUCAAUAGUUUUAGAAACUUUUUUGUUGGACAAGAAUCCCCUUUUAUUUUUGUUGCCCAAUAGAAAAAUUUUCUUUCCCAUUAAAAAUCCCGUGUUCAAAAGUAGUUAUAGUCAUUUUUGCCAUAAAACACACAGUUUGAGCAAUUUAAAUUAAACCACCUUUAAGGUUUUUCAGCAAAAAUAUAUGCAAGAAUUCAGAUUGUUGUAAAAUUAGUAGGAACAGUAACCAAUAUUAACGACCCAUAGUAGAAAUUGGUAAAAUAAAUCAAGCUACCACAGACAAUAAUGUUGUAAAUGUUAAAUAGUUAAGAAAAAUUAUAAUGGAAAAUCCAACCAUCCAAAUUCAUCAAGAUUCCAUGAUAAUCAUGUUCUCAGGUCAAUGUUCAAUUUAAUUAGUAGUUUUAUUUCAAUUUUUAGAGAAAUAAUAAAUAAAAAAGAGAUGUCAAACUACACGUGCAAUGGUAGCAAAAUAUCAAUAUAGGUGCAAUAUCGAAUAAUCAAUCAAGAUAAUAUGAACACAAGUAUCACAUAAUCAAGUUAGGGUUUAUAAAAUGCAAACUAAAGUGGUGAUCUGGAGAUUUGAUUGCCAGAAGCAUAAGUAAAUGAAACGGUGUCAGGAAAACUAGCCAAUAAUAAGUAGAAACUGCAAAGAUCACCAAGAAUCGUACAGAUUCGCCAAGAACUUUCAUAUCUGGGGUUUCUAUUUCAAUAUCCGAAUGGAAAAACUAGAUUUCCACAAACCUCUACUAAACAAGCAAGAGUAACCAUUGAAAGCUAGAUCCUUUAAAAAUUUUAGUCUAGGAUUCAAAUUUCAGAUCAAAAGAAAAAUGAGUUUUUUCACAGCCAAAUAACAAUCGAACACCCAAGAACAGUCUCCAAAGGAAGAAUAUCACCAUUACACAAAAACUCGUACUGUACAAAACUCAGAAGGAACAAAUCAUAUAAAACUUUGCAGAAUCUAGAAUGUAUUCACAAAAGGCAUCAAAGUAUAUGUUGACACAUAAAAAUUCAGCCCAAAUCGAACGGCCCAAGGAAUGAAGCCCAAUUGGAGGAUCCCCAAAUCAGAUAGCCCAAAGAACGAAGUCCAAUCAAACAAUUCAAGAUGAAGGUCCAAAUAUGGAGGUCCAAGAACGCGGUAACGCCAUCGCCCAAGUUUGCAAGUCGCUCAGGAUCUAAGCGAAUGGAGUGCCAUGCAGUCGCCCAGAGUUGUUACUCUAUUCUCGUCCAAACCUUCAAGUCGCCCAAGGUCUUAACAAACAUAAAGCGUUGUGGUUAUCAAGAAGUACAGUUAUCAAAGCAGUUAUUAAAGAAACUUUAUCACGUUCCACGAUUCAAGGAAUUCGAUCAAAAACAGUUGAACGACGAAGAGUAAUGACAGCAGUUAAAAAAUGCAGUUUUCAUGACAAGCUGGCCAUUACGAGGAAAGUGGGCAGUUGCAGAACGAUCAAGCAGCUUUUAGGCAGUUGAUCACAAAAAAGAUCAUCCAUGGAGGAUAAAAGGGAGAAAAGACAUAGAACAAAGGAUCUAAUCAAAAACUCUCAAACAGAGAACAUGUAAUUUUAAUUUUAUUAGUUUAGACUUAAACACCUUUUUCAGUAACUCGUGUGCUUGCGCCCCUUGGAGGCAUUUUGUUUUUGAUUUCCAAUUGUAAAGUCAUCGCCAAUAAAAGAACACCCCUUUUUGGGACUUUGUCUCAAGAGGUUUGUCCCUUACACAAUCGUCCGAUCCCUUUUAAUUGUUAGCGACUAACCCGCGCGAAACAAUUUGGCACGCCUAGUGGGAUAGUGGUGUUUGGUGUUGAAAGUACAAAAGGUGAAACAAUAUGCCUCAAAGAUCCGAUAAGGAAGCAACAAGUUAGGGAGGAAUCCAGUCUGUGAUCGAGCGAUAUGAGGAGCAGCAUGCAUCUCCACGAACAAAUGGACAGAAUCAGAGCAAUAACUGUCGUUACGAACCAAUGAUGGAGUUGAGUCCUCGAACCAUGCGUGCAUCAUUUGGAGAACUCACACAAGAUGUUGCUAAACAGAUAAAUCUUCAAAGUAUUCAUAAUAUGGAAAAAUUUACCCAAAAUGGGAAUGCACACUAUGACAACAUGGCCAAACAACUAAAGACUUUGAACGAAACAAUGAAUAAAUUAGUAGGCCAAAUAUGUCAACCGGUUAUACCUCUUGCAAAUCACUUUCAAACUAGGACAAUUGUGGGACAUAAUCCCUCAGUCCUAAAUCUGAAUCAAGGGGUAGAGCCACUUUCUGGUCCCUCUACUUCAAACCAAGGGGGUACAGCAGUGCCAAAUCAGAACAAUGGUAGUGGUACGCCUAACUUGGGGGAUAAUCCAAACAUAAGAGAUAAUAUCCUAAACAAUUGACAGAAUAUCACACGUGUUAAUGAGGAAAUAGAUGUUCAGGUUAAUGGUAAUGGCCCUAAUCAUGGUAACUUUGUUGCCAAUCAAGGACCAAACAUCAGGCCUCAUGUAAAUCAACCGGCUAACCAGCCUGUAGGAAUUUCAUAUGAUCCCAACGUCAUAUUGAAGAAUCAGAUUAUGGAAAUCGUACAGGAUCAGAUGACUUUUGGGGUGCGUCCCGUCAUUAGGCCGACGUACACAAAGCCAUAUCCUGAUUGGGUAGACCAAGCAUAUCCAUGGCCUAGAGGGUACAAAGUGCCAAAAUUCUCUCUAUUUACCGGUUUAGGAGAGGUGUCUACUCUAGAAUACAUAGCGCAAUUCACAUUGCAAAGUGGUGAUGUAAUCGAUUACCAUAAAAUGAGGAUUUUCCCUAAUUCAUUAACAGGAGUAGCUUUCUCCUGGUUCAUCAACUUGCCAGCGAACUCUGUUCAAACAUAACAACAAUUGGAACAGUUAUUUCACGCUCAGUUUUAUAAAACUAAGUCUGAAGUCACUUUGGUUGAUUUGGCGAAUCUACGUCAAAUGCCAAACGAAUGGGCAGAAAGUUUUCUCCAAAGGUUCAAGACAGCAAGAAGCAAGUGUUUUGUACCUCUACCCGAAAAAGAAUUUGUCAAAAUCGCUCAAGGCUGUUUGAGCUUUGAUUUAAAAAAGAAAUUCCAGGAUAAGGAAUUUCCUGACCUUUUCCAGUUGAGUGCGAAUGUGAUUAGGUAUGAACGACUGAUAAGAGAGGAAGAACAGAUGAAAAAUUCUAGUAAAGGGACUUAUUACAAAGACCCAAAUUUUGAUGUUCAUACCAUCAGUGACGAGUCAUACGACCAGGCCGAAAUGUGUUUGGUCGAAUUGGUCAAAGAAGACAUGUAUACUUGUCACAUAAUGGCCAAGCCUAGACCAUCGGGCAAAGAUGAGCCCAUAAAAGAUGGAAACAUAAAGGCUAGAACGUUCUCGCUCGAUGUAACCAAAGCUGACCUUAUAUUUGAUAAAUUAUAUAGAGAUAAGCAGAUAAAGUUGAGCGAUAAGCACAAAUUGCCAAACCCUGAACAAAUUAAGGAAAAAAAAUAUUGUAAGUGGCAUAAUGCAUGGUCACAUUUGACUAACAAUUGCUUGGUUUUUCGCCAUGUAUUGCAGGAUACCAUUGAAUCAGGAUGAAUUACGUUCGACGAUAAGAAGAAGAUGGCAGUGGAUGAAAAUCCUUUUCCACGGCCACUUGGAGUAAACAUGAUGACAUCUGGAUUCAAAAACAAGUUGCCAAAAUUCAAGUUGGUCGUAGAUGAUGGAGAAGAGGAUCCUAGACCACAUCCCAGUGUCUUUGAACGAAUCAAGGAGAAAGAACCAAAAAAGGACGAAGACGUCCUGUGUGCAAGAUGUAAAAGAGAAAUGAAUGGCAAUACGGAGAAACCAGGGAUAUGGCAGCAUCCCCAUCGCCCUACCUUCUUCCCAAACACUCAGCCUGGUAGAGGGCGAGGUACACCAUUCUAUAGAGGACCGCCUUUUGAGAGGCGGUUCAGGCCAGCAGAUAAUGGAAGAACAUUCAGGCCGCAACCUCGUCGGCCAAAUGUAUGGCAUUCAUUCCAGUAUAAUGUAGGAAGGGCAAUACCCUUCAAUGAGAUGACUAGAACCCAACAAAGGCAUUUCCAACGAAACUAUAGACGGAUGAUGAGGCAGCAACAGGGAGUGCCACAUCCUAAAGCACCUAAAGUACUCAAGAUAGCCAAUCAAAAUGUCCUCAAAGAUAGUGAAGAGACCGGUACGGAUGAAUCAAUGAAGGAACUGUCAGAAACUUCUUCUAGGAGAUCAAAGUUUGAGUGAGACAGAAGGGAUGGAGAAGAUCCAGAUCAGCCCCUUACUAUCCAAUUCGGUACGUUGCCUCCUGUCGUGGCCAAUAAUUAGUUACUAGCCAAUGAAUUCAAGAAUAAAGAAAAAGAAGAAAAGAGGGAGGACAACGAAGGAGAAGCUUGCGUGCUGGAAUGUGAAGAAGGCCAAACUUCUAGAGAGGCCUACAAUGAUGAAGAGGACUACGGAAUGACAGACAUUGAAGAAGAAAUCGAUCUAGAAGCAGAAGGAAGAAAGAGAGGAGUAUCGCGCAAUACUCUAUUGAAGCUACUACAUCGAGAGGGAGUUCGCGAAGUAGACUUGUUGGGAGAACCAUCUGGGCGUCCUUUCGAUUUCUACGUACUGUACGGGACACCCAAAAGGAAGAAGAGAGUGCCUCGCUCUGAAAAGUAUGGGUCACCUCCAAGAAUAAUGCCCCCUCCCACAGGUUGGGUAACUGAUGAGGAAGCAUUAGAAAAAAGUAAGAAGGAAGUUCAGGAGACAAAGGAUCAGCGCGAUAUACUGCACAUCGACUUAUCACAGGGGGAUAAUUUGACAAAAAAAGCAGAAAAUAGAAAUAGAGGCUGCCGAAAAGGUUAUUUUUAAAUGGCCAGCCAUGAAAUUGACCAAACACUUGAGGCCAUUGUACAUUAAAGCUCUAGUUUACUGCAUCCCAGUGGCAAAAGUGCUUGUCGACAAUGGAGCAGCUAUAAACACCAUUCCAUCUAGGAUGAUGAGGAAGUUCGCAAAGACAGAGGGUGACAUAAUUCCUACAGAAAUCAUCCUCAUGAGCUUCAAUAGAGGAGCAAUUUCAGUUAAGGGAGUUAUGCCAUUGGACAUAACUAUAGGGACGACUACUAGGACCACUGUCUUCUUUGUAAUAGAUGGUCCUACUAGUUACAAUGUGCUACUAGGAAGAGAUUGGAUACACGAAAGUCGCUGUAUACCCUCAUCGCUCCAUCAAUGCCUGAUCUUUUGGAAUAACAAAGGUGAAGCAGAGGUGGUACAGGCCGAUCAUAGGCCUUUUGUCGCAGAAGCAAAUUCAGUGAAAAAGUUCAUGUACGAAGGAAACUAUGGACCUGUCAGGGUGGUACAAGAUGGGGAAGAAACUCAAGUUGUCACGCAAAGCGAAAAACCAUUCUCAGUGGACGCACUCACUGAAAUGUUCAAACAGAUGAGGCCAAAUAUAGUGGCCCUAGAAGAGCCAAUAAUUGGCAAAAGAAUAAUCAAGGAGUCUUGAAUGGAUUCUAAGUUAUAAAAGCAAAUGGCCGACAUUCAGGCCUUCAAAGCCAGACUAAUGGCUUUCAAUAAGGAAUGCAAUGACAAGGCAAAAGAAGAGACAGCCCUAAAAGUGCUGAAGGACAAAUUAGCAGUAUUUGAGUUAGAACAAAGCAUUGGCCGAUAAGUCAACAAGGUGGACUGUUUAGAAGAGGAAGUACUUACAAGGGAACUGGACGAUGAAGUGAUGCGGAUCGUCAAACCUGGAUAUGCUCAAGCACAAGACCCUCUGAUCAAAGUAAAUAUUGGCAAUGAAGGAGAAGAUCGUCCAACAUUCAUCAGCCAGAUGCUCGAUCAAGAGGUUAGUAAUAAAUUAAUCACUUUGCUAAAAGAGUACAAAGAUUGUUUUGUUUGGGAAUAUGAACAAAUGUCUGGUUUAGAUAGAGACUUGGUGGAACAUAGGUUACCAACUAAGCCUAAUUUUAAACCUCAUAGGCAGCCUCCUAGACGUUUUGCUCCUAAUGUACUCCCUGAAAUCAAGAAAGAGAUAGAGCGAUUAUUGAAAGCGGGUUUUAUUAGAACAGUCAGAUAUGUCGAAUGGUUGUCCAAUAUCGUACCAAUACUAAAAAAGAAUGGUAAAUUAAGGGUGUGUAUAGACUUUAGGAAUUUAAACAUAGCUACACCAAAAGAUGAGUAUCCAAUGCCCACGGUGGAUUCUUUAGUAGACUCGACUGUCGGACAUGUCAUGUAUUCUUUCAUGGAUGAGUAUUCAGGAUACAAUCAAAUUUAUAUAGCUGAAGAAGACAUACACAAAACUACCUUUAGAUACCCUGGGUCUCUAGGAUGUUUUGAAUGGGUGGUUAUGCCUUUUGACUUAAAAAAUGCAGGGGCAACUUAUCAAAGGGCAAUGAAUUUAAUCUUUCAUGAUAUGAUAGGCAAGUUUGUUGAAGUGCAUGUAGAUGACAUAGUAGUCAAGUCCAUUAAAGAAGAGAACCAUUUCGAACAGUUAAGAUGUUCGUUUGAGCGAAUGAAGCAAUAUAAGCUAAAGUUGAAUCCCUUGAAGUGUGCAUUUGGUGUUAAUGCAGGGAAUUUUCUUGGUUUCUUAGUACACAAGAGAGGGAUUGAACUUGAUAAAAAUAAAGCGAAUACCAUUUUAGAGGCCAAACCACCUAACAACAAAAAAGAAUUGCAAAGGUUUCUAGGCCAAAUAAACUUUUUAAGACGCUUUAUUUCUAACUGUGCAGGGCGAACUAAAGUCUUUUCGCCGCUCUUAAAGCUGAAAAAUCAGGACGAAUUCGUCUAAAAAGAAGAACAUCAAAAGGCUUUUGAAAGCCUGAAGACAUAUUUAUCAAGUCCACCAGUGCUGGUAUCACCAAUCCAAGGACGGCCAAUGAAAGUUUAUGUAUCGGCUGAAAAAGAAUCAAUAGCUGGAAUGGUCGCACGGGAAGACCAAUUUGGUGAAGAAAGGGCAAUUUACUACUUAAGUAGACGGUUAACGAAAUGUGAAUGUAAUUACUCUGCUAUCGAAAAAUUAUGUCUUGCAUUGCAUUUCACAUGUACAAAAUUAAGGGCUUAUUUACGGCCCGUAACCGUUUAUUUAAUUUCUAAAGUAAAUUUAGUUAAGUACAUGUUCUCGCUCCCUAUUUUACACCAAAGGGUAGGCCUUUGGACACUAGCUUUAUUAGAAUUCGAGAUACAAUAUAUACCUCAAAAGACAGUCAAAAAUCAGGCUUUGGCUAACUUUCUAGCCGAUCAUCCAUGCCUUGACAUGCCUGAAGAAAUCGAACUAGAAAUCAAUUCGUUCAAGCUAAAACCUUGGGUGUUGUAUUUCGAUGGAUCAAAAAUCUCUAAAGGUGCAGGAGUAGGAGUAGCAUUAAUUAAUCCUUUAGGGAUUUACUACAAGUUCGCAUUCACUUUAGACAGAAUGUGCACCAACAAUCAGGCCGAAUAUGAAGCCUUAAUUGUAGGCCUAGAACUAAUGAUAGAUAUGGGAAUAAGAAAUGUGAUUGUUAGGGGCGAUUCUCAAUUGGUAAUCCACCAAUUGAUUGGUGAUUUUAAAUGCCAAAGUGAUUCCAUUAUAAGUCAACAUGAGAUCGCCAAAGAAUUGUUAGAAGAAUUCGACCAAGUAGAACUUCAAUGCGUUAAUAGGAUAUAUAAUGACGUGGCAAAUGAGUUAGCACAAAAGAUCUCAGGGUACUCAAGGGUUUUGAAUUGGAAGUCUACUUGUGAGUAUGGAAUCAUAUUGCCCGUGACUCAAAGAAGGGCAAGAAAGAUUGAACUUCACGCAUAUAAGGUGGAGAUACAAUGGAUUGGAGAACAGAGACUCCUUAAAGAACCUAAUGGAGGGAUUAGUAGGAAAAUGAAGCUGUGUUUGCUGAACUAUACACUAAUAGACGAAGAGUUGUUUAAGAAACGCUCUGAUGGGGUAUUACUAAAGUGUGUAAGUUUGCAAGAAGCCAAGACGAUCAUGGCUGAAGUGCACGAAGAGAUAUGUGGAGCUCAUCAAGCUGGCCAAAGGAUGAGAUAGUUAAUUAUUAGGAGUAGAUAUUUUUAGCCAAAGAUGGGAGAAUUAUGCGUUCAGUAUGCAAAGAGUUGUUUAGCAUGCCAAAAGCAUGGUCCAAUACAAAGGGCGCCAGCACGAGAGAUGACACCUAUUAUUAAACCUUGGCUGUUCAAGGGUUGGGCGAUAGACCUGAUAAGGAAGAUUUAUCCCCCAUCGUCCAAGCAACAUACUUUUGUUAUAGUUGCAACCGACUAUUUCACCAAAUGGGUAGAAGUGGUACCUUUGAAAGAGAUCACCCAGAAGAAUGUUAUAGAGUUUAUCCGUGAUCACAUCAUUUAUAGGUUUGGAAUUCCACAAACGUUAAUGGUAGAUCACAGAACAUCUUUGAAUCGGGAUCAAGUGAACAAAUUUUUGAGCGAGUUUGGGGUUAAAUUAGUAAACUCCACACCAUACUACGCUCAAUCCAACGGACAAGCGGAAUCUUCUAAUAAGAUUCUAAAAAAUAUCAUCAGAAAGAUGAUAGAUGAAAAUGCCAGAAAUUGGCACGAAUGUCUGAACAAAGCCUUAUGGGCUUAUAGAACAUCACCUCGGUCAAGUACCAAAGUUACUCCUUUCCAACUUGUUUAUGGGCAAGAGGCCAUUUUGCCUAUGGAAAUCAACGUGCAAUCGAUUAGAGUGUGCUUGCAACAUAAGUUGAAUGAUGAUGAGUAUGCCGAAUCACUAGUUCAAAAUUUAUUGGGGUUAGACGAAUUAAAGUUGGACGUCUUAGAUAGAUUGUAAGUUCAAAAACAAAGAAUGACUAAGUUUUAUAAUAAAAAAGUCAUAGCCAAGUCGUUCAGCCUGGGUGAACUAGUUUGGAAGACGAUACUCCCUUUGGAUAGCAAGAAUCCAAAGUACGGAAAGUGGUCGUCCAAUUGGGAAAGACCAUACAAAAUAAACAGUGUGUUGCCCAAUGGAGCGUAUCACUUGGAAGAUUUAGAUGGCACCAACCACGUGAGAUUCAUUAACAGCAAAUAUGUUCCUUCUUUAUGGGAAUGUGAACAGAUAAAAGUAUAAUCAAAAUAUGUUGAACGAUUAAGAAUAACAAGGUCAGAGCAAAAUACGUUCAAAUAAAAUCCUUUAUUAUCAAACGUUCAUUACAAAGAUGCAAAAAUACAAAUAAUGGAUGCUCUACAAACUACAAUCAAAAGUAAGCUAAUCUCCCGGUUGAUCGCUGAGUAAGAGGGUGGACUAGCCUCACACCGCCUUCCUAAAUGCAUCGCUGCAAUAGUGGGAUCGCCGAGUAAGAGGGUGGACUGGCCUUACCACCUUCCUAAAUGCAUCGCUGCAAUGGCGGACAAAGAGGCUGAGAACCACUCUCAGCAAGCAAUCUAAGAAGCACUCUCAGCAAGUAAGGUAGCCCGCAAGCAUCCCAAAAAUUGCCUUCUAUCAUCGACUCCUUGUAAAGGACAAAGAGACGAUGGGAAGAACUUCGAUGGUAAAAACUUUGCUGCUGGCCAAAAAAUAUUUCCUAUACCUCCCACACCAAAGGUGACAUCAAGGCAAAUAGUAAAAUGGGCGGACUAAACAAUCCAUUUUUAUAGAAAGAUGAAGGUUUCGGAUCGGGUUGAUUGUCAGAGUGUCAAAUAAUGGUAGCAAAUUGGUUUCGAAGAAGAAAAUGAAGAUGAAGAUGGAAGAUGAAAAAUGCGAAGCAUACGUGCAUUUGUAGGGGGUUGGAGAUGAAGAGACAGAAUAUGAGCAGUCACAUUUUGCCUAGUAAAUGGAAUUAAAUAGCCCAAAGUCUUGGGAAAAGUGGUGAAAAUAUCAAAAGAAAAUUGGCAAGAUUUUUAGCACAAAGCAGUUAAAUGCUUGAAGAAUUUGACUAAAAAACAAACGUCAAAUAAAUGCACAAGAAGUUAAUAUAUAUGUUCAUUAAUGAUGAACAAAGUUGCAAAGGGAAAAUCAAAUUACAAAAGAAAAAGGUAUCAUAUGUCUUAAUUACAGUCCACCCCACACUGAACGAAUUCGUUCCCAAAGUUUUUCCCAAUCCUCGUUCUGUCGAGGGGAAGUAAUGUUCAAUUCGGCCACGACAUCAUCAUCAACUUCCAACUUCUUGUACUGCUCAACCAAGGACUUAGUUCGCUCAAUUCCCUAGGAGGCGUUGCGCUUUUUAGCAGCCAUUAUCGCCUUGCAGUCGUCCAUUUUGGCUUGAAGUUCCUUCAUCUAAGCAGCCAAAUUAACCAUCAAAGAGUCUUCAAUCAUGACUUCGGAAUAAAUUUCUUUCAACUCGUCCUCAGCCUUGUUGAUCUCCAGACGUAAAGACUCUUUCUCAGAUACGGCUCGAAGAUAUUGAGUACUUUUGGCCUUUAGUUCAGCAUUCUUGGCCAGCAAAGAAAGGACCUCGGAGUGGAUAACCUUCAACGUCGCUUUAAAAUCGACAGAAAGAUUGAGCGACGGAAGCAUCAAUGCUUGCUCCAACUUCGCAUUCAAAUGCUCAAGUUUAUCCUUGUGUCUGGCAGUACUAGCCCUACCAAUGUCCAUAUCCAUGAAGGACACAUACUCAAAUAUCGACUGCUUGAGCAACUUCAAAUCUUCCUCUGAAAAAGUAGCAAGACGGUCAGAUAGAGCAGGGCGAGACGUCUUGACUUGCCCCCAGGAAGCGAACAAGUCUUGGAUAAAACGCACAAUCUUGUCAGCAUCCUGCAAAGAAAAUUGCCAAUAUUAAAGAUUCUCACUACAACGAACAAGAUAGAAAUAAAAGUGAAGCAAAGAUUACCUCAUCAACAAUCGUGGAAGAUGACAUGUCCUCAGCCAAGUCUGCCACCAAUGACUCCUCCAUUCGUGAGGACUUCCCCUUGUCUGAGCGAGAAGAUGUUGCCACAACGGGCAGACUCAUAGGAGUAUCUGCAGAACUCAAGGGCAACAAAUCAGAAACCAAUAGCACAAGCAAAGGUAAGGCAUUAAAAAACUGAAUUACCUUCUGCUUCGAUGUUUGGGGGGGUUGACGCCCUGGGAAGAAGGUGGCUCAUCCAUGGGUUGUGAUGAGGAUUUUGGGACUGAAGAUGUCUCUUUAAGUGUAGUCCCCUCAUCAACCGAUUUGGAUGAAGCAGCCUCAGCGGAGGAUGAUGGAGUAGGAGCUGUCGAUGCCAAAGCCUUUGAAGGAGAGGCUGAACUUUUCUGAGAAGUCCAAAAAAUCAUCAGCACACAGAAAAGUUCCAAGUAUGGAAAAGUAUGCUUGUGAGUAAACCAAUUUAAUUACCUUUCUCCUGAUGAUAAGAGGGGUAUCAUCAUCAUCAACAUCAUCCUCCAGAAUGGGAGAUGCUGAAGCUAGCCGUUUGCGGUUUAGGGCACUCUUAGCUGCAGUAGGCUUGGCAGGGAGAGAAGAAGAUGGACGAGCAGACUGUUUAGCGCGACAAGGAGGAGAAGGACUCCGGAUGGACAAAGGAGUGACUAAAACAGGAGGAGGGGAAGAAAUGCUCGGCUGGUCUAGUGAAUGAAAGGCACGAUUAGCAUCAGUCUCAAACAAUCUGUGCUUCACUGACGGCCAGAGCUGUUCAAAAAGAGGAUGGAUGGCGUGGCUAGAAUUGACGGGGGCUAAUGAAAAAUAGCUUGUUAAGAGAAGAUUGCGAGCAUUUAUAGCAUCUGCCUCCGCCUUAUUAAUAAUAUGAAAACGGUCAAUUAAGUUCCUUGAAUAGCAAGGAGGAACAGGCCAAAUUUGGCCAAAACCAAGCUGGCGAGCAAAAAAUUAGGGAGCAUAAAUUUCUACCCCUGCCUUAGCAUUGGUCCCAAUUAAAAUAUCAUGAAAUAGCUCCCUCCCGGUUAAAAACUGGAUCCAAAUGAGCAGGGAGGUGCUCGUGCUGUAUAUAGUAGAGGGGGGAUGUACAUAGUUUGGAGUCAAAAAAGGAGGAAAAGGAAAAAAGGAAGAGAUUGAAUCCAAAGAAUAAAAGAAUAAAAAAAUGUCCUUUCUGGACAUAUUUACAGGAGCCAAGGGCUCAAUGGCUAGCCCAUAGCAGCUAGUAAAGGAACGAGAAAUUGAUGGAGCACCAAGCAAUGGAAAAUAGGAUCUCAACCACAGAUGAGUGAACCAAAGAGGUUCACUGCCAGUGGGAGAUGCACCAUUCUUUAAUUGAGUUUGAAGAGAGGUCAUGCCUCUAUAAAGGGCAGCCAAAAAGAAAGAACAUAAAUUCAAAGGUCUGCCACGCGCUAAUUCGUGCGCUAUGGGUAAAUAACUCAGGGAGGGCUUUAUGCUUGGCACGCACAAAACAUAUUUACAAAGCCAAACUAGAAGAAAGGUCACUCGCUCAGUAUGGGAAAGCUCAGCGCUCGAAUGAUUGUGAAGGGUUUGCAGGCUUGAAUAAGAUUCGAUGUAGUUUUUACCAAACUUUGGGGCGCCACCAGAAACCAAGAUACCAGGAAAAAUGGUAUCGUCCAAAGGUGGUAGAUUCACUAGGGCCCCAACAUCCCUUAAAGUAAUAGACAUGGGGCCAAGAGGGAAAAUAAAGGUAUUAUACUCGGAAGACCAAAAACUCAAAGCAAUCGAAAAAAGUGCUGAAUCAAAAGUAGGGGGACGAAUAGAGAUUUCUAACAAAUCAGAAAUCCUAGCAUUAUCAAAAAGUGCCUUAGUAGGACCAUGGCCCACAAGACGAGCAUGCCACCUACGGAAAGCUACAUCAGAUUUAGGCCAAGUGGUAUCUCUUUCGUGAAGUGGCCCCAGCGGCAGAGAGUUUAGAAAUGGAAGGCCUUGAGUACAAGGAAACAGCUGACCCACCGCCGCCUGUUCAACUGCCUCUGCAUUGUUGAAGAAAUGACCUAAGUAGAACUCAUUGCGUUCAACAUCGGAGGGCGCGAGAAAACUCGGAGUUAUGUAUGGACGACUCAGAAGUUUCUGAAAGUCAUCAAAACUAAAGGAGUCGCCAGCUUGAGAUUGUGAAGUAGCCAUUUGAGAUGGAACGAAGUUUUUCAGAGUUACGUAGCAGGGAAGCAAAAGAUGAACAGUAAAUCGUGGGAGAGACGCGAAAAAUUUGAGGCAUGAUUUAAUGGUGCAGUGAAAUGGCGUGUUUGGGGGUUAUAAGGAUUUUCAAAACGACGCACCUUUUUAAGUUAUGGAAGAAAACAAUGAUUGAAAUUCUUGAAAAUCUCGAAUGUUGCUGGAAACACAAAGUGAAUAUGGUAAAAUCUAAUAAUUAUCAUUAAUUCUACCAUAUUGGGGGGUAAUUGUUGACACAUAAAAAUUCAGCUCAAAUCGAACGGCCCAAGGAAUGAAGCCCAAUUGGAGGAUCCCCAAAUUAGAUAGCCCAAAGAACGAAGCCCAAUCAAACAAUUCAAGAUGAAAGCCCAAAUAGGGAGGCUCAAGAACGCGGUAACGCCAUCGCCCAAGUUUGCAAGUCGCCCAGGAUCUGAGCGAAUGGAGUGCCAUGCAGUCGCCAAGAGCUGUUACUCUAUUCUCGUCCAAACCUUCAAGUCGCCCAAGGUCUUAACAAACAUAAAGCAUUGUGGUUAUCAAGAAGUGCAGUUAUCAAAGCAGUUAUUAAAGCAGCCCUAUCACGUUCCACGAUUCAAGAAAUUCAAUCGAAAAUGGUUGAACGACGAAGAGUAAUGGCAGCAGUUAAAAAAGGCAGUUUUCAUGACAAGCUGGCCAUUACGAGGGAAGUGGGCAGUUGCAGAACGAUCAAGCAGUUUUUAGGCGGUUGAUCACAAAAAAGAUCAUCCAUGGAGGAUAAAAGGGAGAAAAGACAUAGAGCAAAUGACCGAAUCAAAAACUCUCAAACAGAGAACAUGUAAUUUUAAUUUCCUUAGUUUAGACUUAAACACUUUUUUCAGUAACUCGUGUGCUUGCGCCCCUUGGAGGCAUUUUGUUUUUGAUUUCCAAUUGUAAAGUCAUCGCCAAUAAAAGAACACCCCUUUUUGGGACUUUGUCUCAAGAGGUUUGUCCCUUACACAAUCGUCAGAUCCCUUUUAAUUGUUAGCGACUAACCCGCGCAAAACAGUAUCAUAGAUCAAACUCAAAUAUUGUACAUUUCUAUAUCGGAACAAGAAACCCCAUAACCAAGAUCUAAAUGAACAAUUGAAGUUGUUUCUAUAUACUAGAAGAACUCAACCAACAUACCACCUCUCUUCUCUCAAGAAAUCACUCAAACUCCUAUAUUCACAAUGAAAACACAGAAGAGGUUGAAGAUAUCACAGAGAAGACAAAGAAAAAGAUAUGGAGAAUUCUAGAAGGUUGCCAAGGAAAAAUAAAACGAAAAGCAAAUUAGGAAAACAAGGGGUUAUCUAUAUAUAACCCAGAUGUCCAUCGUUAAUCUUUGGUCAAGGUUAACGGUCCAAAGCAACUAACAACUUUGCAAGUUAAGGAAGUGACAUUUAACACUAAAGUCACGUUUCAUAACAUGAAUUUCUCCACUUUAUAAUUGGACCGGGAUUGGGGCUUUGUCCAUUGAAAUUAGAGGAAAUUACAUAUACAAGUAUGACGCAGAAUGGAAGUAAGAAAAAGAACAAAAGAUUUACCAACGUAAAUCUUAAAAAUAAGAAAAUUGGAAUUCUCCAAGAAUGAAAUUUGUAUAUUCUUCAAUGAUGACGGAAAAUGUUCCAAAAGCCAUUAAAUAGGCGUUACAAGAAACCCUGAAACAUAGAAAAAAAUAAAACGUUCCAAAAAUAACGAAAAUUCAAAAUGGGAAAUACAGAAAUUAAUUAUUCAGAGGCCUAAAUAAAGGAAUUUGGCUAAAAUCUCGAGAUCCCCAGUCCAAUUUCUAUCGGGCCAUUUCCAAUCAACCUAUCAAAUUUCAGCCCAUUUCGACACCAUCGCGACAAAUGACAAAAUUACCCUUGGUGCGAUUUUUCUUUGUUAAUUUUCUGUCCCACACUUCUUCAAACUCCAAAACUAGGUGUCCUAUAUCAAAGUAUUUCAACUUCAUUGCGCAAAAUUCAGGUAUAAAUUUUUUUUAAUCGGAAUUCAGGUAUUGUAUUAAUAAUUAAAUAUUACACACCCUACCUAAUUCCAUAGUAACCCUAAAUCAAUUUUCUUCUCCCUAUUCAUCGUUGUGCCAUUUCACCCCACACCCGUCACCACCCUAAAUCGGCGACCACUGACCAUCUUGCACAGCGACAAGCACUCAUCGACGACAGGCUCGAUCUCGUUCUCUUUUGUUGUAUUUUGCAUCUGUCUCUUCGUUAGUAUGAUCUGCUAGUGGUGGUGGUAUGAUGUGGUAGUGAUGUCUGUGGUGUUAUUGACAGGCCCGAGGUGGAGGUAGUGGCAGGAUUGGAGUUUCUUUGUUGGGUGGUGGUUGUGGUGUGGCAUGGCGUGACGAUGUCUGUAUUGCUGGAGACGAUGGGGAUAGUGGUGAAUUUGGUGGCAGGGACGGGGAUGGGGUGUGAUGGAGAUGGAGAUGGAGAUGGAGAUGGAGAAGGAGAAGGAGGUUUUCUGUUCUCGUUGGUGAUUGUUUUGGAUAGUGGGUUGUUACUGGUGGUAGUGGUAGUGCAAUAAUGAUGGUGUGUGGUGGUAGAAUGUUAUAAUGGUGAUUGUUGGUGGUGGAGGUGGUUGUUGGUGGCUGGAGAUUUGAUAGUGGUGAUUGUUGUCGUUUUUGUUAGCAGACUGGAUUUGGUGGUGACGAUUUUGUUGGUGAUGAUGUUGUGGUGAUGAUGUAGGUAGUGGUGGCGAUGGUGAUGGGGUUGGUAUUGGAUCUGGUGGCAACAUCGGGGUGGAGGUAGUGAUGAUGCCUGUGGCAGAAGUGCCCCAAUAUUUGGUGUAUGUGACUAAAUAUUUGGUCCUUUGUGACCAACUAUUUGA
This 24261-nucleotide long non-coding RNA is filed under the name Olea europaea (common olive). RNAcentral's name for it is "long non-coding RNA (OEUR_LNC011261)". The record is from RNAcentral. Lineage: Eukaryota; Viridiplantae; Streptophyta; Magnoliopsida; Lamiales; Oleaceae.